Molecule: ribosomal RNA, 496 nt
Filed under: uncultured bacterium
Lineage: Bacteria
Description: partial 16S ribosomal RNA
Rfam family: Bacterial small subunit ribosomal RNA
Source: RNAcentral
AUUCACGCUGGCGGCGUGCCUAAUACCUGCAAGUCGAGCGAACAGACGAGGAGCUUGCUCCUCUGACGUUAGCGGCGGACGGGUGAGUAACACGUGGAUAACCUACCUAUAAGACUGGGAUAACUUCGGGAAACCGGAGCUAAUACCGGAUAAUAUAUUGAACCGCAUGGUUCAAUAGUGAAAGACGGUUUUGCUGUCACUUAUAGAUGGAUCCGCGCCGCAUUAGCUAGUUGGUAAGGUAACGGCUUACCAAGGCAACGAUGCGUAGCCGACCUGAGAGGGUGAUCGGCCACACUGGAACUGAGACACGGUCCAGACUCCUACGGGAGGCAGCAGUAGGGAAUCUUCCGCAAUGGGCGAAAGCCUGACGGAGCAACGCCGCGUGAGUGAUGAAGGUCUUCGGAUCGUAAAACUCUGUUAUUAGGGAAGAACAAAUGUGUAAGUAACUAUGCACGUCUUGACGGUACCUAAUCAGAAAGCCACGGCUAACUACGUG